Molecule: long non-coding RNA, 7505 nt
Filed under: Sus scrofa (pig)
Lineage: Eukaryota; Metazoa; Chordata; Mammalia; Artiodactyla; Suidae
Description: lncRNA (ENSSSCG00050056791.1)
Source: RNAcentral
GCCGUACCUGCAGCAUAUGGAAGUCCCCUGGCUAGGGACUGAAUCAGAACUGCAGCUGCCAGCCUACGCCACAGCCACAGCCACAGCAAUGCAGGAUUCAAGUCAUGCCUGCAACCUACACCACAGCUCAUGGCAACGCCAGAUCCAUAACCCAGUGAGCAAAGCCAGGGAUCAAAUCUGCAUUCUCAUGAAUACUUGGUUGAGUUCCUAACCUGCUAAGCUACAGCAAGAAAUCUUAUAUUUAUUUUUUCCAAAUAAUUUUAUUUAUUUUUAAAAAUUGAACUAUAGUUGAUUUACAAUGUUGAGCAAAUUUCUGCUGUAUAGCAAAGUGAUCAAGGCAUAUAAUACAUAUACAUAUACAUAUAUUCUUUUUCUCAUAUUAUGUUCUGUCAUGUUCUAAGAGAUUGGAUACAGCUCCCUGUGCUGUAGAGUAAGGUCUCAUUGCUUAAAUUUGGGCUUCAAUGAAAGUACCAACUGGACUAGCUUUGUCCUAGAUCUCCUUGCUUUGUGAUCAGUGGACCGGAAGGCCCUCCUCUUGAGAGGGGUGAGGCUUUGGGUCUCCCUUGGAGGAGUCAGAGCCCCAGAGACUGUCAUUGCCCCAGCUCCCACUGCACUUGAGUGUGGGGGGACAGUGGUCAAGAAGGAAGCCUCAGAGAGGCAGCCCAGAACCCUCUAUCAUCACGGCUUCCAGGGAAAAGGCAGAGAUACCCUGGAACAGUUAUGGGCUGGGGAGCCUGGCAUGCUGAUGCACGGAUGGAAUGAGAAAGUUUGUGUGUGUGUGUGUGUGUGUGUGUGUGUGUGUGUGUGUGUGUAAGAGAGAGAGAGAGGAAGAGGGAAUCUUACCUCCUUCCUCUGCCUGUGGAGAGCUGCCAGGUGAAGCCAAAAGAACCAUCCAAUGGGGUCACAGUCAGAUGCCCUCUGGUCUGAUCUUAACCUGCCUCUUUACUGGUGUAGCAUGUAGGAGGCAAAGAAACAGAUACUCAUUCAGGCUGCCUCAGGGCAGAGAGGUUUAUUGUCUAGGUGAGUGUGAUGUAGUAGAGAGGGACGGACACCCCCAGCAGGGGAUCCAAGAGUAGAAAAACUAGAACUCAUAGAUGCCAAAACUGGGUGGUGACUCAGAAUCCUAAGACAUUCCAGGGCCUUCAGCAACAGGAUCCAUGGAUUUGAUUAAGCAUGCAGUGGAUUUUGGUGUCAGACUACUUGGAUUAGAAAUGGGACUCUUGGCAUGGACAAGAUGCUCAACCUCUUUAAAACCUUUAUUUUCAUUUUCUGCAAGAUUUGAAUAAUCAUACCAUCAUCUUCAGAAUAGUGUAAGGUAGGAUAAUGUACAUAGACCAUACAUUCAUCCUUUCUAUACAGAGCCUACUUUGUAAAAAUCCUACUAUGGCUACCCAUUGCCCUUAGAAUAAAACCUAAAUUUUAGCCACAGCUCAAAGGCCAUAUGUGAUUCUGGACUUUUCCUUCUCUCCAAAUUCCCCUUCCCCCUUCCCCUUCUCUGUCACUGCCAGCCCACCCCCCAUCAUUUUCCAUCUUCCUGGUUGUUUGUGUCUUCUUCCAACACACCAAGAAUUUAUGAUCUGGUCUACCUAGAAUGGAAUAGUCUCCUUCCAGGUCUUUACACGUCUGAGUUCUUUUUAUUCUUCAGGGCUCAACUUAAAUAAUCCCUUUCAGAGCCUCUCCUGACUGCUCUCCCUUAAUCUAAAGAAGCCAAACUCCUUCCCACGAUCAAAUGACCCGGCUUCUCUGCUGCCUAGUGUCUUAUUAUGACCCCCACAUUUUUGAGUCUUUUUGUAAGUUUGCUGUCUUCCCUACUGGAAAAUAAGGGAAGACAGGGGUCUUGCUUACCCUGCUCCACAGUCUAUCCCCAAAACUUAGAAAAGUGCCUGGCUCAGAGGAGUUGCUCUGUAAGGAUUAGUCAGAAGAAUGAAUAGAUGGGUGGAUGGAUGAGUAAAUAAAGAUGGUAGAAUGUUCUAGCAGGAUAGUGAUGGAAAGCUGUCCUUUAAGUUCCUUCUAGUCCAGUGAUUCCUUACCUUCCGUAGUUUGUUUAGCUCCUCCCCUGCCCUGAACCCCCCACACAGUGGGCAGUUUGAAGGUGGGGAACAUUUUGCAGACAUACUGACCAGGGACACCAUGAGGCAUCAAGGGUUUGGAGCUGGGCAGGCUAAACACCCUGCAAGGCACAGAAAAGUCUGAUUCCAUAACCCGUGAUCCCUUGGGACCCCCCCCCCCGAAAAAUGCCAAUAGCCUUCCAUUUGAGGAAAAAUGGCUAGUCUAGUCAUCUGAUUUUAUACUGGUUGCGAACUGCGCUUCAUGGGUGUUUCAAAGCUGCCAGCCCCUGGUGUUCCAGCCAGGGCCUGUCCAACAGAUUUCCAGCUUCACUGAAGAGAACCUCAAACUGGUUCAGAAAUGGUUAACCCCAGCUAAGACAGCGGCUCUUUUGCUUGCAAGCUUUUAUUUUCAGUGACUAAUGGGUAAGAGGGACAUGAGCUUGCCCGGUCUAUGGAGGAUGCAGCAGAAACCACGUCUCUGAGGCCCAUUCCUGUGAUUACUGAGCUGAGCAUGAGUGAUAGGAUAUUUUGAGGAGAUAAAAGUGUCUGACCAGCUAAUAACCACCAGACGCCAGCACCAAGAUGGGGCGGGGGAUAGUGCGGGGAAUGUGGCUCAGACAGAGAGGCCCCGGGAGGGAGCCAUGCCUGGCAGGAGCACACACACACACACACACACACACACACACACACGCAAUCCAGGCACUCAGAGACGCAGCACGAAAACUCAUACGCAUGCACCUAGAACACAUCCUACAGACAGACACUGAGCAUACCCGGAUACACUGUAUUUUAAGCUACAGGACACAGACUCCACACAUAGGCUCACACACUCUUUCUAUAUACUUAUCCAGAUACAUUCUUCCUAGACACACUGCACAUCCACACACAGCCUUCCACACCAAGACACACCCAUAUGGCAAAGACAGAUAGAACACACCUAACACAACAUGUAAUGGAUGGGUGCACACAUAUAUAACAUAUACGCAACACACAAAACUCACUCCUACAGAUAAUGCUCAUUCACACAUCAUCUCCACUAAAAACUACAAUGCACAAAUAUACAUAUACAUGCAUACAUGCAUAUAUACAUAUGGACAUACAUACAGACAGACAGACAUGUGUACAUACCAACACACACAAUCACACAUAAUACUUAGAAAAGUAUGUAUACAAGUGCAGGUCUAUUUAGCACAGAUAUAAACAUAGACACCACACAUGCAUACACAUAUAUACACACAUACAUACACUGCAAACACACACACACACCUUAGAAGUACACAUGUAAGGCACAACACAUAACACACCCUUGCCUCUUAGAGAUACACAAUCCUAAGAGACAAACACCACACGAAACCUAUACCAUACAUAUGUAUAUGUUUCUCUUUUGCUCACAACUACUCAUUUUUAUUGUUAUUUAUUUUUUGAACAUGCCCAUGGCAUGAGGAAGUUCCCAGGCCAGGAAUUGAACCUGUGCCACAGCAGUGACAAUGCCAGAUUCUUAACUCACUGAGCCACCAAGGAAUUCCAACAACAUUUUAAAAUUUGUGUGUGUGGCAUAUUCAAUUUGCUGUACACCUGAAACUAAUACAACAUUGUAAGUCAAUUAUACACCAAUAAACUAAAAAAAAAAAUUAACUUUCAGACCUACACUCUAAUGAUUGCAUCCAAUCAGAUAAUAUAUAAAUGCUAUUUUGAAAUUAUCAGAUUAAAAAAGUAAUUGUGUACAGAAAGCUAAUGUGUCAUUUGAUUCUCUCAUUUUUUUUUUGGAUCCCAAUGUCUGUGAUAAUCAUCCCUACAAAAAACAGAAAAUCAGCCCUAGCAUAGUAGAGAUGGUGCUUGUUUUUCUGAUCUUCUCUGGCUACAGGAAGAGGAGAGCAGGAAGGAGAAGAGAAGGGCCCCAGGACACCCAAGGGGCCAGGGAGACUCUGACCUUGGUUGCAGGACACCUGAGUUAGAGCUACAAUCUGGUGCUAUCCUAUGGUGUUUCUGGGGUCUGUUGUUUCCCAUUUCUGAGCCUCAGUUUCUUCACCUGCAAAAUGGGCAUGAACCUGCCCUGGAGGGUUAAGUCAAGUCAACUCUACUAUAUAAUUCAAAUGUGAAUUGUGGGCUUGAUCACUUCAUAUUCCUAAGCAAAGAUGAACAGGCCUGUGACAACCUAACAAAAGCAUCAGUUUUCAGUUGAUCCUCCUCAUGUGUCUUUUCUUCCCAGGGAAAUCCUGUGCUGUAUAAAUAAUUUUGGGCUUGUCCACAGAGAAAAUCUAUAGCUUAUUUUAUUGUCUUUAUUGAGUUUUUAUUAAGUGCCAGAUCCUCUUGCCAAGCAGUCUACCUGUAUCAUCUAAUUUAAUUCUCUCAAAACAACUCCAAGAAGUGGGUUUUGUUACCACCUCCCCUCCAUUUUUUCAGAUGAGGAAAUCAAGGCACAGUUUAGCCAAGAGAUUUGCCUGAGAGCUCACCAGUUGAUGAGUUUGGAGCCAGGAUUCAAACCCACUCUGCUGUGACAUAGAGGGCUAUCCCUCUGCAUACUUUUGCAUAGGCUGCUCUCCACCAAAACCAGCCAUGAAGGUUCUCUUGUGUUGGCAGGUGAAAUCAGCUUGAAGUUAAAGCUCAGGCUGAUUCUAAGAAACCCUUUGAUGCUGGCUCAUCCCAGGUAUAACUUCCAGGCUCAUCCAGGGUAUAACUCACCUCUCCCUUAAUACAAAGUCUCCAUCCAAGUUCAUAGCACACUUUCAAACUUCUUAAGCCCUACCUCCUCCAUCUAUAACCCUUACCCUUCUCGACAGUCGCAAAAUAGUUAACAUAUGCCAUCAAAAAGACACUGGGAAGUAGGUCUUACUCCUGUUAUACCUUGUUUCCACUCUCCGCUGUUUGUGAUUGGUAACUUUGGGUUGAUCAAUAUACAAUAUUUCUAUCAAUGACACUGGAGGCCCAUGCGGGCAUUAGGACUUUCUUUUAGGCAUUUAAUAUUGCCUUUUGUAUACUCCACACUGCAGGCUGGCUGGUGAUUGAAAAACAGGAAUUUAGAGUCAGGGAUCUUGGAUUCAAAUCCUGGCUCUGUAACUCUGCACAACCUUGAACACAUUAAACUUUCCAGUGUCCCAGUUUCUUUCUUUGUAAAUUUGCGUUAAAUCCCAAUACAGGGAUUUGAUGGGGUUGUUUUGGGGUCUCAGUGAGUUAAUGUUAACGAAGGGUUUAGAAUAGGACCUGGCACAGAAAUAUUAGCCAUCCUCCGCCUCCAUCUAGAUCUAUGGCUCCUUCCACUGUUUCAGUUGACGAGGCUCUUGGUGCUUUGUUUUAUAUUUCAGUGCCUUCCAGUUAGAGUCCCUCUUCUGGGUGAGCCUUUCUCCAGCCACCUUUGUCUUCUCGAUCACCAUCCCUGACAUCUCAUUUCCCGAAAAUAACAGAGGCUCCCCAGCACACCUUGACUUUGUCUCCUAGAGAUUCAGUGCAAGCUGUGCUCCAAGGAACUGCCCUGGUUCCUUUUCUUCGAAGGCAAAUCAAUGGACCCAAAUCCAGAUUUUAGAGGGGCACAGUUCCCUCCCUCUGCUGGUGGGAAGGUGACACCAGAGGUGGCAUGAUUAAUUUGAGUGACAAAGGGCACUAGAGUGAUGUAACGUGAUUAUAUGCUGCUAUUUUCCUUUUUUGUUCUUUCUUUCUUUUUUUAGGGUCGCACCCAUGGCAUAUGGAGUUUCCCAGGUUAGGGGUGGAAUCAGAGCUGUAGCUACUGGCCUACACCACAGGCACAUCAAUGUUAGAUCCGAGCUGCGUUUGUGACCUACACCACAGCUCAGAGCAAUGCUGGAUCCUUAACCCACUGAGCGAAGCCAGGGAUCAAACCAUUGCCCUCAUGGAUGCUAGUCAGAUCCAUUUCUGCUGAACUGAUGGGAACUCCUACUAUUUCCCUUAUAACCUGCUUUUUGUAGUCCUUUCCUACGUGCUCCCAAACGGAGAGCUUCAAUUUCCAUUCUCCCUGCUUUUCCUGGGUUCCCAGCUUCUCUUUCCUUUCAUUUACAAAAUCCUCCCACCAACUUUGCUAUAUCAUGCUCAUUUUGUCACAACAAGCCUCGUGUUUAAAUUACUAUGUAAUCCCAAGAUGUAGAAACUUUGAGUUUGUUCUUUGAUAACAUUAGAUCUUAUCCACAUGUACGACUUUGGUGGAAAAUUCACUCUUCUCUUAGUCAUCUGCUGUACUUUCCCAGGGUUCAGAGGGAAGAAAUGUGGUUUGGUAAGAACAUAUAGGCUGCACCUCCAUGGGAAGAAAUUCAGGUCAUGUGUGUGUGCAUGUAUAGGUCAAAAACUGUCCAAUUUAUUGUGGUUCAUCCUUAGAGCUUUGGCCUCCUACCCCAGGAGAGAACUUAAGUGUUCAAGAACGUGGGGUUUCCAGCUUCGUAAAUAAAUUGAACUGAAUUCUUGUCAUUCCCACAUUUUUGACACUGGUUCCGCAGUUCAUGACUUUGCCACAGGCCCUCUGAGGCUGAACUCCAACUUCUUACAAACCUUGUAUACAUGUCGACACACGUUGGCUCUUUUAACCACCCUAAGACCACCUAACAUCAGUUGAGAAUAUUAGAAAGACUGAAACAAAUACAUAUUAAAGAUUUUUUUAGGGCUGCACCUGCCGCAUAUGGAAGUUCCUGGGCUAGGGAGCAAAUUGGAGCUGUAGCCAUCAGCCUACGCCACAGUCACAGCGAUGCCAAAUCUGAGCCUCAUCUGUGACCUGUGCCUCAGCUUGAAACAAUGCUGGAUCUUUAACCCACUGAGUGAGGCCAGGGAUCAAACCUACAUCCUCAUGACACUAUGUCAGGUUCUUAACCCAAUGAGCCACAGUGGGAACUCCCUACAUGAAGGAUUAUUAAAAAUAGAUAUCAUACUUAAUGCUAGAGAAUGUCACGGUCUUUUGUUAAAUUUCACUUCAUCUGUGAAAUGGGUACACUAUUUAGCACAAUUAGACUUCGUGAGGAUGGAAAGCAUCUGGGUCAAGAGUACGUAUGCCUGAGGUCAGAUUUCUGAGGCUGGAACUGAGGUCAGAACGAGCAGGGCCUGGUUCCCAAAGAAAACUUGGGGUUAAUAUUACUAUUGUCACCUAGCUAUCAAGUCCCAGAGUGGAUAUCAUUCAUUCCGGAGUUUUCUGAAUUUCCUCCAUGAUAAAUCCUGGGGUACUUUCUAAACACACAGCUUCCCCAGCUCAUUUCCCAGCUCUUCCCUAGAAAUGGGACAUGGACUAUGGCUGCUAAACUUGUAUUUAAGGCGACCCUCUAAGUGAUUCUUAUCAUCAGGGAUGUUAGGGAAACAUGAACCCUGUUUGCUCAGCUGGAAGCAGCUGUCUCUUUCUUUGAUCUCGCUAAGAACUCCUUGUAUUCUCUUUAAUCCAUUUCUACUUUGCAGUAUUAUUAUUUUUGUAAUGUACAUGUCUUUAUCUCUACUAAUGAUAGCCAACACUUCCGGAGCUCUCAUUAGGUG